Aedes albopictus (Asian tiger mosquito) is the source of this 118-nucleotide non-coding RNA. NCBI's taxonomy places the organism in Eukaryota, Metazoa, Arthropoda, Insecta, Diptera, Culicidae. The record is from Rfam.
UGCCCAGCAACUCCUAUCCCUGCCUCCGCGUGGUACUGGCUGGAAACUACGAGCAACCUUAAGGAAGAUCGGGUAACUAAUCCCGGUGGGAACUUUGAUUGUAGGCUGACAGGGAAGA